CUAAUACAUGCAAGUCGAGCGCACCUUCGGGUGAGCGGCGGACGGGUGAGUAACGCGUGGGAACGUGCCCUUUGGUACGGGAUAACUGAGGGAAACUUCAGCUAAUACCGUAUGUGCCCUACGGGGAAAAGAUUUAUCGCCAUUGGAGCGGCCCGCGUUGGAUUAGGUAGUUGGUGGGGUAAAGGCCCACCAAGCCGACGAUCCAUAGCUGGUCUGAGAGGAUGAUCAGCCACACUGGGACUGAGACACGGCCCAGACUCCUACGGGAGGCAGCAGUAGGGAAUCUUGCGCAAUGGGCGAAAGCCUGACGCAGCCAUGCCGCGUGAAUGAUGAAGGUCUUAGGAUUGUAAAAUUCCUUCACCGGGGAAGAUAAUGACGGUACCCGGAGAAGAAGCCCCGGCUAACUUCGUGCCAGCAGCCGCGGUAAUACGAAGGGGGCUAGCGUUGCUCGGAAUUACUGGGCGUAAAGGGCGCGUAGGCGGAUGUUUAAGUCGGGGGUGAAAGCCCGGGGCUCAACCUCGGAAUUGCCUUCGAUACUGGACAUCUUGAGUACGGGAGAGGUGAGUGGAACUCCGAGUGUAGAGGUGAAAUUCGUAGAUAUUCGGAAGAACACCAGUGGCGAAGGCGACUCACUGGCCCGUUACUGACGCUGAGGCGCGAAAGCGUGCGGGAGCAAACAGG
Molecule: ribosomal RNA, 681 nt
Filed under: uncultured Alphaproteobacteria bacterium
Lineage: Bacteria; Pseudomonadati; Pseudomonadota; Alphaproteobacteria
Description: bacterial SSU rRNA
Rfam family: Bacterial small subunit ribosomal RNA
Source: RNAcentral